RNAcentral lists this transfer RNA (69 nucleotides) under Paratriatoma lecticularia. Its description in RNAcentral is "tRNA-Gln". Lineage: Eukaryota; Metazoa; Arthropoda; Insecta; Hemiptera; Reduviidae. The record is from RNAcentral.
UAUAUUUUAGUGUAAGAUGCACGAAGAGUUUUGAUCUCUUAAGGUAUAGUUUAAGUCUAUAAAAUAUAA